AUGCUUCCCAUCUAUCCAUGCAUCUCUUUGUGCCACAUAUCACUGGACAGAGAUUUGGAGAAACCUGUAGAAGCAAUCCUAGGGCAGCCUCUGGGUCAGUUUUCCCUAAUAAGAAGCCAGAGCUCCUCUUUACCCAGACGUCAGACCCAUGGAGACAGCCUGGGAUCCUGGGAUGCCCUCCCGCUCAGAGAUGUCCCCAUUGUCCGAGGAAAAUGGAGGCUGACUAGGAAGAAGCGGUCUGUGGCCGGGGAUGGGUCUACACAUUCUAAUCCAUCUCAGUACUGUCUGCUAUUGAUUUUUCGUGCAGAUCACAUUAAUUUAAAGCCAGUUCUCAAGAAGCACCACCCUGUCCCCGACAUAUCCACCAGUUGGGCCCCUUUCCUGCCAUUAAUCAGUGUCUGCUAAUUAGAGAACAAACUCCUGUUUGUCCAAACCGUUGCCAAGACCCCCACCGCAAGGCAGUUAAAUGAGGAUAAAUGAGUCCAUCUUAUUAAAAAGUGACUUAAAUUUAUCAAAUUCUAUUUAUGUUUCUUUUACAUCCCAAUUUUCUAUAGAGUUAGUGGUUCCAAAUGAUAAGGUCUCAAGCCCAUAGUAAUUUAUCCUUUGAGUAACACAAGCUUGGCGGUAUUUUGGUAAUAUUCAUGACAACAGCAGCAGUGGUGCUAACAAGGACUGAUGUCACCAGAGCACCUUCUAUGUCCAAGCAUGGUGCACCAUACUUCCCAUGCAUUAUCUCAUUUAAUUUUCACAAAAGCUCGCAGAGGUAAAUAUUAUUGUCUUCCUCUGCACAUAAGGAAACGAAUGUUCGGAAAGAUUAAGUCAACUCACUGAGAUGCUGCAGGUGCUCUUUCACAGGCCCCUGCUGCCGUCUCAUUGAACUAUUGACAUCAGAAAAACCUGGGGACCUUGCUAACCUUCAGAUUCCUGGGCCGCAUCUUGGAUGCAGGGAGUCAGACUUCCGGGGAGUGUGGCCCCGGAAUUCGCAUUUUUAAACACAUUCCCCAGGAGACUUGUAGGCACACUAAAGUUGGGGAACUCAUGAUCUCUGGCUUUCAUGAUGUUUUAAAUGCACUACAUAAAUCCAGUAGCAAAAGAGUUUGGCUUUGGGAAGGGAGUGUGUGGUGAACCCUGAAAGCUGAAUGGACUUCCUUCCUGUGGAGGGGCAGUGGGAAAAAUUGGAGGCAGAGAGGUGUGUUGCAGUCCUUGAUGGAGCUUAUGUGAGUUAUUUAAUCUCUCAGUCUCUAGUUUUUCAUCUGUAAACCAGCAAGGAUACUUUUAUUUCCAGGUGGUUGUGAAGUGUGGAAGAGAUGAGAGUAGAAUAAAAUUUUAAAAAA
This 1334-nucleotide long non-coding RNA is filed under the name Callithrix jacchus (white-tufted-ear marmoset). RNAcentral's name for it is "lncRNA (ENSCJAG00000059265.2)". Lineage: Eukaryota; Metazoa; Chordata; Mammalia; Primates; Cebidae. The record is from RNAcentral.